GGGAGAGAAGAAGCGUGGGGGAAGGGUAGGGAUAAGUCCAAGCAAGCACACAUGGUGGGUGGAAAUGGCGGAGACCGAGGGUUGGCCCAGAGUUCGGUUUGCUUUGCCUUCUUAUCGCAGCACAAGCAGACGACGACGCGGGGAGUGCGGACGCUCGCUCUCUUUUUCUUUCCCAGCUGGGAUUCACCUCUGCCUUCCCCCACCCCAGGGAUGGCCAUGGCCAUGGUGGUGCCUUCUUGGCCCUCGCAACCUGUUCUUGUUCUUGUCUUACUUGUUUGGUGAAAGCUCAUCACAGCUUCACUGUACCAACUCCAUUUUGGUUGCAUGGCCACCCUGCAACUCCAUUUCAGCUUCUUCAAGAAACAUGAGUUCUUGCAACUGAUCAAUAUCACUAGCAAUACGUAUGCAG
RNAcentral lists this long non-coding RNA (409 nucleotides) under Musa acuminata (dwarf banana). RNAcentral's name for it is "long non-coding RNA (MACU_LNC001159)". The record is from RNAcentral. Lineage: Eukaryota; Viridiplantae; Streptophyta; Magnoliopsida; Zingiberales; Musaceae.